Molecule: non-coding RNA, 358 nt
Organism: Grus americana (Whooping crane)
Lineage: Eukaryota; Metazoa; Chordata; Aves; Gruiformes; Gruidae
Source: the annotation of a RefSeq genome assembly
AUGCACCUUGGGUAUCUCAUUCUCACUGCCUUCGUGAGGCAACAAGCAGGCACCAUGGGGCAGACCACUAUCACCCAGCAGGAAGGACAAGUCACAGCAGAGGAGAGAAACACCUUCCAGACCACCUGCAUCUACCAGACCAUAAAACUUUUACAGCUUGUUCUGGUACCAGCAGAAGAAAGGCCAAGUUCCACAGUGUAUCUCCUGUCAGGGAGCAGCCAGGCCCGCGUGGAGCAGCCAUCUCACCACGUUGCUGAACACCAUGGGGAAAUGCGGCCUCCUGCGGUUGGAGGAAGUCAAAGUCUCUGACAGUGCCUUGUACCUCUGUGCUGUGCAAGACACCCUGGCCACCUUCUGA